Bombus terrestris (buff-tailed bumblebee) is the source of this 865-nucleotide long non-coding RNA. RefSeq lists it as uncharacterized. Lineage: Eukaryota; Metazoa; Arthropoda; Insecta; Hymenoptera; Apidae. The record is from RefSeq and is a predicted model, not a curated record. The transcript has 2 exons.
GUUUAAUAUACAAAGCUUAGAAUUGGAUGACAUUUAGGACACAUUAAAUCAAGAUUAGAUACGAGGAAGUAGUCCCAAUCCACUAAUGGUCAGGCAUUCUGAGAACAUUAAAACAUAAGAAACUUAAGGAAUCAAGGAUGUAUUUACAAGGAAGGAAAAAGAAACAAUUGCUAUUAGUCAAUUGUGAUCAUUUUUACCUUUGGUUUUGGUCGAUGAGUAUUCACUGCGUCAAUUGGUAAUCGAAUAUGUUCCACCUUACAGCCAUAGGCAACUGGCGUUAAUUUAAUAAUAGUAUGUAGUGGCACUUGUAAAUAUGGUAAUUCAUCUAGAAGAAGACAAAUAUGAUCAAAAUUAUUUUGUAAAGUGAAAAAAGAAUGGAAUCUUUGAAUCACAUGAAAUACAGUAAGGAAAAUAAUGUUAUGAGAAAAGAUAAAUAUUAUUUACUCAUCAAAUAAUGGUUUGAAGUAUAACAUAGAUUACGUAUGUAUUCGACGCGUAUGAAAUUGAUUAAACUACUCGCAAUUUAUGGAAAUAAAAUUAUGUAAACAAGAACGACGGGUAUCUUGGACUUCCGUCAUACGUAUAAUUUCGUCACUCCCGAUAUCUCACUUUUUGCAUACAUAUCUAUUUUGUUCAGUUCAUUUCGAUACGUCGAAGGUCCAAAGUUAUAUUCCCUGUUAUAAUAUUCCCUGUUCAAGUAUACAUACGUUUAUGUCGUAUAACUAUGAUUUCUGUAUUUACGAUGUGGAUGCACCUUAUUCAUCCUUUAUUAAUUUGAUUAAGCAGUCGUUCUGAUAAAGAUAUCUUCUCUCAAUUAUUUAUAUACUAGUAUCAACCACAUAAAUAAAAUAUUUGUAAAUAAAGA